UCCUUCUCCCCUUAUCACAUAUAAUCUUUGUAAUGAAUCCUCCCUUUGAAUAUUUCUUGAAUAUUUACAUGAAUAUCUUCAUGAAUAUUUUCGUGAAUAUUUUCGUGAAUAUUUUGAUGAAUAUUUUGAUGAAUAUUUUUUGAUUAUUUUUUUGAAUAUCUUUUCUUUCACCAACAAUCGGCCCACAGGUUCCCUGUGAAGAUCACUCCUUUUGUUUUCCUCGCAAUAUUGUAGAAAGCAAGAUACGUGGCAAACACAGGUUUCCUUCUCCCCUUAUCACAUAUAAUCUUUGUAAUGAAUCCUCCCUUUGAAUAUUUCUUGAAUAUUUCCAUGAAUAUCUUCAUGAAUAUUUUCAUGAAUAUUUUCGUGAAUAUUUUCAUGAAUAUUUCGUGAAUAUUUUCAUGAAUAUUUUGAUGAAUAUUUUUUGAUUAUUUUUUUUGAUUAUUUUUUUGAUUGAUUUUUUGAAUAUCUUUUCUUUCACCAACCAUUAGCCCACUGGUUCCCUAUGAAGAUCACUCCUUUUGUUUUCCUCGCAAUAUUGUGGAAAGCAAGAUACGUGGCAAACACAGGUUUCCUUCUCCCCUUAUCACAUAUAAUCUUUGUAAUGAAUCCUCCCUUUGAAUAUUUCUUGAAUAUUUACAUGAAUAUCUUCAUGAAUAUUUUCGUGAAUAUUUUCGUGAAUAUUUUGAUGAAUAUUUUGAUGAAUAUUUUUUGAUUAUUUUUUUGAAUAUCUUUUCUUUCACCAACCAUU
Gasterosteus aculeatus aculeatus (three-spined stickleback) is the source of this 751-nucleotide long non-coding RNA. The record is from Ensembl. NCBI's taxonomy places the organism in Eukaryota, Metazoa, Chordata, Actinopteri, Perciformes, Gasterosteidae.